RNAcentral lists this ribosomal RNA (903 nucleotides) under Sphaerulina patriniae. RNAcentral describes it as "LSU rRNA". It matches the Rfam family "Eukaryotic large subunit ribosomal RNA", at positions 35 to 967 of the family's 3401-position model. Lineage: Eukaryota; Fungi; Ascomycota; Dothideomycetes; Mycosphaerellales; Mycosphaerellaceae. The record is from RNAcentral.
UAAGCAUAUCAAUAAGCGGAGGAAAAGAAACCAACAGGGAUUGCCCUAGUAACGGCGAGUGAAGCGGCAACAGCUCAAAUUUGAAAUCUGGCGCAAGCCCGAGUUGUAAUUUGUAGAGGAUGCUUCUGGGUAGCGACCGGUCUAAGUUCCUUGGAACAGGACGUCAUAGAGGGUGAGAAUCCCGUAUGUGACCGGCCCGCACCCUUUACGUAGCUCCUUCGACGAGUCGAGUUGUUUGGGAAUGCAGCUCUAAAUGGGAGGUAAAUUUCUUCUAAAGCUAAAUACCGGCCAGAGACCGAUAGCGCACAAGUAGAGUGAUCGAAAGAUGAAAAGUACUUUGGAAAGAGAGUUAAAAAGCACGUGAAAUUGUUGAAAGGGAAGCGCCUGCAAUCAGACUUCGCGGCAGUGUUCCGCCGGUCUUCUGACCGGUUUAUUCUCUGUCGCGAGGCCAUCAUCGUCUCGGCCCGCUGGAUAAGACCUUGGGAAUGUAGCUCACCUUCGGGGGAGUGUUAUAGCUCAUGGUGAUGCAGCGAGGCUGGGGCGAGGUCCGCGCUUCGGCAAGGAUGAUGGCGUAAUGGUUGUCGGCGGCCCGUCUUGAAACACGGACCAAGGAGUCUAACAUCUAUGCGAGUGUUCGGGUGUCAAACCCCUACGCGUAAUGAAAGUGAACGGAGGUGGGAACCGCAAGGUGCACCAUCGACCGAUCCUGAUGUCCUCGGAUGGAUUUGAGUAAGAGCAUAGCUGUUGGGACCCGAAAGAUGGUGAACUAUGCCUGAAUAGGGUGAAGCCAGAGGAAACUCUGGUGGAGGCUCGCAGCGGUUCUGACGUGCAAAUCGAUCGUCAAAUUUGGGUAUAGGGGCGAAAGACUAAUCGAACCAUCUAGUAGCUGGUUCCUGCCGAAGU